Molecule: non-coding RNA, 71 nt
Organism: Heligmosomoides polygyrus
Lineage: Eukaryota; Metazoa; Nematoda; Chromadorea; Rhabditida; Heligmosomidae
Source: Rfam
GCGCCGGUGGUGUAAGGCGAACAUCGCUGGCCGGAAAGCAGAAGAUGCGGGUUCGAGUCCCGCCUGGUGCA